CACAAUCACCCUCAACCAUAUAAUUUCAACCACAAACCCUCUGAACCCUUCUCUCCCCUCUCUUCCUCACGAUUGAUCUCCUGUCCCGCCUCUUCCCCAACCGAGCUUUCCUCCGAAGCCCACCGCGAUCUCUCUCGUCGCCUUCGAAGAUAAGGAGCCAGCAGAAAAGCAAAGUCUCAUUAGAACAAGGAAAUGCUGCAUCUAAAAUUGAGUUUUUUGUGAAAUUUUGGAUUCAUCACAAUGUCAGGGUUGCUUAAUUCAGGCCAGAGUGGUUCAGCUUCAAAUCUCUCUGACUCCAUAGGCAGACCUUUUGCAACAUCUUUUUCUGCUCAAUCUGCAACAGUUCCUGGUUUUCAUCACUCUGGUGGUAUGCAAGGACUGCACAACAUUCACGGUAGCUUCAAUGUUCCAAACAUGCCAAGCUCACUUGCAUCACGGAAUGCAGCAAUGAGUGGUGUACCAUCUAGUGCUGUUCAGCAACCUGGGGGAAGCAUUUCAAGUGGGAGAUUUGCGUCAAAUAAUAUUCCAUUUGCCAUGUCUCAGCUUUCACAUGAACAUUCGGGUGUCACCAGUAGAGGGGGCAUCAAUGUAGUAGGGAACCUUGCUUUUAGUAACAGCACAAAUGGAGUUGGUGGUUCGGUACCUGGGAUUUCCUCGAACUCAGCUAGUGCUGGUAACCGUACUUCUGUUCCUGGGAUUGGAGUUUCUCCAAUUUUGGGAAAUUUAGGUCCCCGAAUCACAGGCUCAGUCGGCAAUGUUGUUGGUGGAAGCAACACUGGAAGAAGCAUAAGCUCUGGAGGAUUAUCUGUUCCUGGUCUUGCAUCACGUAUGAAUUUAACUGCCAAUACGGGAAAUGGAAGUCUAAAUGUGCAAGGUUCUAAUAGGUUGAUGAGUGGCAUUCUUCAACAAGCACCACAGAUGAUUGGUAUGCUUGGAAAUUCUUAUCCCACAUCUGGAGGACCAUUAUCUCAGAGCCAAGUCCAAACAGGAAAUCAUUCAUUAAGCUCUGUGGGGAUGUUACAUGAUGUAAACUCUAGUGAUAAUGCUCCUUUCGACAUAAAUGAUUUUCCUCAUUUCAUGGGUCGUCCUAGUUCUGCUGGAGGACCUCAGGGGCAAUUGGGUUCACUGCGAAAGCAAGGGAUUGGGGUUGGCUCUAUUGUACAAAAGAGCCAGGAAUUUAGCAUACAAAAUGAAGAUUUUCCAGCUUUGCCUGGAUAUAAAGGCAAUAGCUCAGAUUUUUCUAUGGAUUUGCAGCAGAAGGAACAAGUUCAUGAUAACAUGUCCAUGAUCCAGUCACAUCACCUACCUAUGGCAAGAUCCCCUGCUUUUAACUUAGGAGGGACCUGCCCGCCUAACCGUCAACAACAACAACAGCAGAAUGCUUCUUCAGUCAACAAUGGUGGAGUCUUUGCACCUGGAAAUAACCAAGAUCUACUACAUAUGCAUGGCUCUGAUCUGUUUCCAUCCUCUCAUGGAACCUAUCACUCUCCGGUUCAGAACACUGGGCCUCCGAGCAUUGGAUUGAGACCUCUGAAUUCUCCCAAUACUGCUUCUAGUUUAGGAACUUAUGAGCAGCUUAUUCAGCAGUAUCAACAACCACAGAAUCAAUCUCCAUUUCACUUGCAACAAAUGUCUGCUGUUUCUCAAUUAUAUAGAGAUCAGAGUGUGAAGUCCAUGCAGGGGACACAACCUCCUCCUGAUCGGUUUGGCUUGCUGGGUUUGUUAAGUGUAAUAAGGACAAAUGAUCCAGAUCUGACAUCCCUUGCCUUAGGGAUUGACCUGAGGAGAUUAGGAUUGAAUUUGAACUCAUCAGAUAAUCUUCAUAAGACAUUUGGUUCCCCAUGGUCUGAUGAACCUGCCAAAGGAGAGCCUGAGUAUUGCAUUCCUACUUGCUAUGAUGCCAAACAACCACCACCACUACAGCAAGGGCAUUUUUCGAAGUUUCAGAGAGACACACUAUUUUACAUCUUUUACAGCAUGCCGAAAGAUGAAGUUCAAUUGUAUGCUGCCAACGAACUAUAUUCUCGAGGAUGGUUUUACCAUAGAGAACUCCGGUUGUGGCUCACAAGAAUUCCACAUGUGGAGCCACUUGUCAAGACUCAGACUUAUGAAAGGGGAUCCUACCUCUGUUUUGAUCCAAAUAUGUGGAAGAUAAUCCAUAAGGACAAUUUUGUUCUCCAAUAUGAGGCAAUAGAGAAGCCAACACUUCCUCCAAGUCACGCUUAACAUUAGUAAAUGCUUGGAAAAUAUACCUCACACCACCAGUUUCUGAUUUUCCUGGAGUUGGCAUGGCAAGCCUUACAUCUUCAAUGAUGAUGUGCCUGUUCAUUAAAGGUGAUAUUUCGUAAAUGACGGCACAGCACAAGCCGCCAUACCCCCGGAGGCUCCGCUUUACCGCAGAUCCACUCUGGUUUGGACGGAGAGGAUGGUGAAAGGGAAAGACCGAAGUUUCUCCGACACAACUCCGAUCGGAGAAACUUAUUGAUUUCUGCUUCCGUAAAGUUACAAGUGCCCUUUUUUACAUGUUUACUGAAAUUAUGAUCAGGAAGUUGCAGGUGUAAAGCCGACUUUACACCACUAGAAAAUUUAAUGACCCAAGUUUCAUAAUGAAAAUUAAAGCGUCAGCUGCGAUCUGCAACAUCUAUAAUCAUAUUUUUUGGAAACCUUUUUGCCUAUGCAUCAAGUCCUCCCAAAUGUAAGUUGUAAUGAUGUGAUAUGGCGUGACUUGAUGCAGAGGAUAGGAGUCUCCAUGAUUUGUUAUUUCAAGUCUUCUUGAUAGUCUGUUGGUUUAGAUUUUUGAAAUUUCUAACCACUAAUUUUUCAGUGGGUGUAAAGUCCUUUCUUGACACCCUGCAAGUAUUAUAGCUGCUCUUAUAUGCACAUAUGUAUGCACACCCAUAUAUACAUUUACAUACAUAUUAAACAUCCUUUUCAUCCAAAAGGAAAAUAUAUCAAACAUCCCUUUUCAAA
Molecule: non-coding RNA, 2970 nt
Organism: Phoenix dactylifera (date palm)
Lineage: Eukaryota; Viridiplantae; Streptophyta; Magnoliopsida; Arecales; Arecaceae
Source: RefSeq, a predicted model, not a curated record